UGCGUAGGUGGUCUUGUAAGUCAGAAGUGAAAGGCUACGGCUUAACCGUAGUAAGCUUUUGAAACUGCAGGACUUGAGUGCAGGAGAGGAAAGUGGAAUUCCUAGUGUAGCGGUGAAAUGCGUAGAUAUUAGGAGGAGCACUAGUGGCGAAGGCGACUUUCUGGACUGUUACUGACACUGAGGCACGAAAGCGUGGGGAGCGAACA
Molecule: ribosomal RNA, 206 nt
Filed under: uncultured bacterium
Lineage: Bacteria
Description: partial 16S ribosomal RNA
Rfam family: Bacterial small subunit ribosomal RNA
Source: RNAcentral